Anguilla anguilla (European eel) is the source of this 2213-nucleotide long non-coding RNA. RefSeq lists it as uncharacterized. The transcript is spliced from 4 exons. NCBI's taxonomy places the organism in Eukaryota, Metazoa, Chordata, Actinopteri, Anguilliformes, Anguillidae. The record is from RefSeq and is a predicted model, not a curated record.
UAUAAUUGUUGUAGUUAUACCCUUAAUUAUUUUAUUCAAUUCAUAAACCAUGACCAGGAUAUUGCCUGCAGUACCAUUUGGACACUAGGUCAAGACUUUGGUUUGGUUUACAGCUAGGGUUAGGGUUACAAUUUUUCCUCCUGACACUACAGGGGUCUGGGCCUUCACAAACUGGCCUAGAAGGUAACAAAACACUACCCUCUGUAGGCCACUUUUCUGCCAUGCAGGGUUCAGACCUGCACAAGAAGGCCUUGGAGACCGAUUGUUUAUUGAACGACUGGGGAAAGAAAGGGCUUUCCAUUUUCCAUUGGCCAGUGCACAAGACUUCUCGGCUGCCACCAAUGGCAUUAGAGGGUCUUCCCCAAACUUUUAGCCUAACCAGCCAGUGCCAGAGGGCGGCCUUCCAACUCCUCCAUCACACCUAGAGUGCUAAUCCACCACUUUCAACAUAAAGACAAACUUCCACCUUAAAAAUAAUAAACACAGUACACAUGUCAUUCAUACACUACACUUUUUUUCUUUAUUUUUUCUUUUAGGAUUAAAAUAAAUACCGUUAAACAGUAUAGAAGAAGAGGGGCUCAAAACAUGAUGGGUAAAGACAAGGACCAAUAGUUGAAUGCCCCAUCACGCCUCUAGGGGGUAUAUAAAGCUUUUGAGUUUUACAAUCUGUUUGGUUUCCAUUCCCUCUGAGGAAGCACUGAUGUGCGAAACGUUAGGGAGAAACUGAACAGAAAUUCUAAUUGUGGAUUUCACUGGGUGUUUGUUUUUUGCCUUUUAUUUUGAGUGGUUUUAAAGAAGAAAAGCCCAUUGAUAAAAAUAAAGGUAUUUUAAACUGGUUAACAGGGGGCUCAACACCUACAAAAACAAAAUGGAGGCACCAAAUCAAAAUGGUGUCUGCAGAACUGGAUAAACAAAAGAAAAAAGAACAAAUUCUAACCUCUACCUGGCUUGAGAGAGACCUAGGUGGGAGAACACGACAGCCUCCACAGCACCAGAUCUACAGCGGGAGAAGACCAGAGGUCUCAACAUGAAACUACUAGAAUGAGCAGAGCAGCUCCCUGGGGCCCCACCUACAGUCUUGGACCCAACUUCACAAGCACAUUGUUCUACUCAAGGGCCAGAAGGAUCCGGGCCUUCAACUCCAGCAGUACAAGGGAAAAAGGUUCCCCACUUGUAAAAGAUACUGAUGGGCAUAUGAUGAAGGGAGAUGCAAAGGGGAAUUCCCCAAAACUGCAAACCCAAUCUGAGCCCUCCCAUUUUAACAACAUUCCCACUACUCACACCAAGGAUAACUUCUCUGACUUCACCAUUACAUUAGAUGAUAGCCUGUCACAGGAGGAGGCGAACCAACCUCAACUCCUGUUGAAACCACAUCGUCAUCCAAACACAGACAGAAAAAAGAUUGGAGUCUCACGGUGACAAAACCCAUCUUGAUUAUCGGAGACUCCGACAUCAGUAGAAUCCCCCAUUACACAGAUUCAUCAAUACAAAUUGACAGUUUCCCAGGGGCCAAUUUCCUAUAUAUAGGAAAAAAUUGUCAGAAAUUACCACCAAACCCACACAUACAGAAGAUCAUACUUUCAGUGGGAAUAGAUGACCAGCAACCCUACAAAACAGCGAUCAAACAAUUACAGUUUAUGUGGAGAAUGGCGGCAGCAGGUUUCCCCAAUGCAAGCUGGUAUACAUCUAUCAUUCAAUUUUCAGAUCACCUUUCAUUCCAACACAAACAAACCUGACAACUCUGAAUACAUAUAUUGAACACCAUGGUAACCCUCUGCUGGAGCUGGACAAACUACUGUUCCACGUUGAUCCCAGGGAUAACAUCCAUUGGACGCCAACAACGGCCUCACAAAUCCUUGAAUAUUGGCUGGAACAAUUAAAUUGGUAGAGCGGGGAAAGUGCGAGGCAUCACAACAGACACACACCAACAUAUUUAAUUUAUCAAAAACCCUGGCACUUUCCCAGUCGGAGUUGUUGCGUAAGGGCCUUCUGUAACACAGCGUACAAAGGUGACACUGUUGCUAAAGAAUAUUUAUAAUAGAACUCAACUCACAUAUGGACCAGAUAUCAGAAGACCAGACUCAACUCAGGAGGAGAGGAGAAUGCAGUGCCGUGACAACAGCGAAAUAACCCACAGAGACUGAAUUUGAAAGUUGGCUACAGGACUUGACACUUGCUACUGGUAAAGUAAGCUAUCCUAAAUUCCUAAUAAA